CUUGGACGUUAGAACCCCGCGAGGCAGGGUGAGGGGCGCCACCGAGGAAGCGCCCACCGGGCUCCCGGGGCUGCCAGGCCCCAAAUUGAGGAAGUUGACUGCCAGAUCACACUCUGUUGGCCCACGCAGAUAGAUUCCAUUCAUCCUUUCUAAUGUCUACACCAUAUUUUGGAUAACAUGCCAUCAUCUCACAUUGUGUUGAAAGAAGAAACCAGAAUGUUGGGGUUGAUGUAUGCCAUAUGGAUGAAUUUAAACAGUUUCGGCCUUGCAAUAAUUGGUAUACUUCUAAUUGCAUGUGAAAUUAUACUCUUUUUAACGAAAGAUGAAACUAUUCAGUGGCCACAUGUACCCAGUAACAGAGGGAGCAAAGCAAAUCUUAUCCUCAAAGAACUGCAGCUGCUUGUUAGAUCUACCUGGUGGUUCCAUAGAGAAACUGCUCAGAGAACCUGCCUUUACCUCGCCUAAAACAGAACUAUCCCGGAGCUCAGCAAAGGAGUCCAUUCAUCCUCUAUAACUGCUAUACAAUAUCUCUGUUAAAAUGCUGAGAAGAUUUAUCCUAAAAGAAGGCACCAAAGCAAUGGGGGCUGUGCAAAUAAUGAUUGGCCUGAUUCACAGUGCACUGGGAACUCUCUGAAUUCAUUGGAUUUUGCUAAGAGAGGAUUCAAGUGGUUCUGGUCCUAUCCCUAUAAUUGCUGUAGUAAUUUACUCAUUUUUGUCAUUAUUUUUUUUCAUCAACUCAGGAUCCAGUAGUGUAAUACAGAAGCCUGUUACGAGAUAUAAGAUGGUUGGUAUGAUGCUUUUACAAUAUUUACUACUCUGCACCAUCUUAGAGAUGACCAUUGUAAUCAUAAUCAUCCAGUGGGUUGUAAGAGCAUUUCAUCAUGAAAAACACACUGAAGAAAGUGAGUAACUUUGUUUCUGGCAGUCAAAUCAAGAUAAAGGCAGUUUAUAAUAAGGGCCCUCUCUGAGAGUUCAAAGUUUA
Molecule: long non-coding RNA, 982 nt
Filed under: Homo sapiens (human)
Lineage: Eukaryota; Metazoa; Chordata; Mammalia; Primates; Hominidae
Description: HSALNT0362932
Source: RNAcentral